UAAAAAGAUGGGCGGGUCCUCAAUUUUCCCAUCCUUUCCCCCCUCCGGCCACAGCGCUCAAUCCUGCCGCCGUCCAAACCGUCCAUCCUAACUGCCUCAACCCAUCGCUGAAUCAAGCGAAAUGAGGCUGGAGAGGAGGUUGCUGUCCACCGUCGCCUCACCGCAGGCCGAAUCUCGCCGUCACCGCGCUGAGAAGAUGGAGAGUCAUCGCCGUCCCGAAGCCCCCGAACCGUAGCAGCAGAGUGGCGCCGGGCUUCGAUCCGGCUCCAGAUCACAAGGUUGGGCCACUUUGUCGGUGAAGUCUCUUCUGCCUCAAGCUCCGACAGUCUGCAGAUGCCACAGAAGUUGCCGUCUGCCGCUGCACCUCAACCUCCUUCCUCUUGUACGCUCUGUGUGUUUGUGUGUGUGUCUGUUGCUGCCGUUCUGCUCCAUACCAGAUCUAGCCAAUUUGGGAGAAGAUUAGAAAUAGGCAGCAGUCGCACCACUGCCGGAUCUAGACCUGACAUUAGAAUCGGAAGCGAUGUGCGGUGGCAAAGCACAAGGGGCAUCGAAGGAUCUUCCUGGCCGUCCAAGAUUCAGUCCUUCUUCCUCAUCGGCAUUCUGAGAGGUCACUGAGUAUUCAGAACAAGCUGUGGUGAAGUCCUUUGGCUUCGGAAGAAACUAUGAUGGCAGAAGCUCUUAACUGUACAAGCUACACAUGCAAGAGCCUUGAGAUGCAGAUACCAAAAACCUAGAGAAGCUGGCUGAUUGCAAACUUAUGGUUAUCAGAUUGUAAAGUGAGUUGACUGGAGCACCAAAAAAAUCAUGUAUGUUUAUCAUUUCUUAUGGAGAAAAGAUGAAACUGCAAGUCUGCUUUUCAAUUCAAUUGUAAAAUGAGAUGAAGUCAUGUGUAAUAUGUAGUAUAUUUGAUAUUUAUGCUGAUUUGUGAUGGGCUGAGAA
This is a long non-coding RNA of Phragmites australis (common reed), 939 nucleotides long. RefSeq lists it as uncharacterized. Lineage: Eukaryota; Viridiplantae; Streptophyta; Magnoliopsida; Poales; Poaceae. The record is from RefSeq and is a predicted model, not a curated record. The transcript has 2 exons.